UGUUUCAUUUAAAAUUUAGUUAGAAUUUUAUUUUUUAGUUAAAAAGCUAAAAUAUAUUCAAAAGACGAGAAGACCCUAUAAAUCUUGAUUAUUUAGUAAUUUUUAGUUUAUUUUGAUUUUUUUUAUUAUAAAUUUAUUAAUUAAUUUUAUUGGGGUGAUAUUAAAAUUUAAAUAACUUUUAAUAAUUUUUAUCAUUUAUUUAUGAUUAAGUGAUCCAUUAUUAGUGAUUAAAAAAUUAAGUUACUUUAGGGAUAACAGCGUAAUUUUUUUGGAGAGUUCUUAUCGAUAAAAAAGUUUGCGACCUCGAUGUUGGAUUAAGAUUCAUAUUUAAAUGUAGAAGUUUAAAUAUAAAGUCUGUUCGACUUUUUAUUCUUACAUGAUCUGAGUUCAAACCGGUGUAAGCCAGGUUGGUUUCUAUCUUUGAUUUGGUAAAAUAUUUUAGUACGAAAGGAAUUAAUAUUUAUUUUAAAAAAAUUAAUUUA
RNAcentral lists this ribosomal RNA (482 nucleotides) under Teleopsis dalmanni. RNAcentral describes it as "partial 16S ribosomal RNA". The stretch from base 251 to 409 matches the Rfam family "Bacterial large subunit ribosomal RNA", at positions 2473 to 2632 of the family's 2925-position model. Lineage: Eukaryota; Metazoa; Arthropoda; Insecta; Diptera; Diopsidae. The record is from RNAcentral.